RNAcentral lists this ribosomal RNA (327 nucleotides) under Triticum aestivum (bread wheat). Its description in RNAcentral is "partial small subunit ribosomal RNA". The record is from RNAcentral. Lineage: Eukaryota; Viridiplantae; Streptophyta; Magnoliopsida; Poales; Poaceae.
AUGAGAUCCACCAAGACGUACCUGCCGGAGCUGACUCGUCAUGGCCUGUUGCAGCCGUAUGUGCUGCAGGCUGCAUCACUCCCUUGCCGUCCACCCGUCCCGCUGUUCGGUCCUCUCCAGCGGAGACUAAGGCGAGAGCACAACUUCGACGACGGCGAACAGGCGGAGAUUCAGCCUGCCCAUGUAAGCAACCAGCCACCGCUGCAGCAGUCCACUGUUGCCCGCGCGGCGCCUCAAUGCUGCUUCACUGACAGCCAGCGUACGGCGCUGCUCCUGGCCGGAACCAACUUCAUCCUCGUCGUCGCCAUGCUGAAGCAGCUAGUUUAG